GUGAGGAAUAUUGGUCAAUGGGCGCAAGCCUGAACCAGCCAUGCCGCGUGCAGGAAGACGGUCCUAUGGAUUGUAAACUGCUUUUAUUUGGGAAUAAACUCCGGUACGUGUACCGGCCUGAAGGUACCAAAUGAAUAAGCACCGGCUAACUCCGUGCCAGCAGCCGCGGUAAUACGGAGGGUGCAAGCGUUAUCCGGAAUCAUAUGGUUUAAAGGGUCCGCAGGCGGUCUUAUAAGUCAGUGGUGAAAGCCUACAGCUCAACUGUAGAACUGACAUUGAUACUGUAGGACUUGAAUUCGAUCGAAGUGGGCGGAAUGUGACAUGUAGCGGUGAAAUGCUUAGAUAUGUCACAGAACACCGAUAGCGAAGGCAGCUCACUAGGUCUGGAUUGACGCUCAGGGACGAAAGCGUGGGGAGCAAACAGGAUUAGAAACCCGUGUAGUCC
RNAcentral lists this ribosomal RNA (445 nucleotides) under uncultured bacterium. RNAcentral describes it as "bacterial SSU rRNA". It matches the Rfam family "Bacterial small subunit ribosomal RNA", at positions 354 to 796 of the family's 1533-position model. The record is from RNAcentral.